This 126-nucleotide non-coding RNA is filed under the name Timonella senegalensis. RNAcentral describes it as "FMN riboswitch (RFN element)". It matches the Rfam family "FMN riboswitch aptamer (RFN element)", at positions 9 to 130 of the family's 138-position model. From Rfam's summary of the family: The RFN element is a highly conserved domain that is found frequently in the 5'-untranslated regions of prokaryotic mRNAs that encode for flavin mononucleotide (FMN) biosynthesis and transport proteins. This element is a metabolite-dependent riboswitch that directly binds FMN in the absence of proteins. Lineage: Bacteria; Bacillati; Actinomycetota; Actinomycetes; Micrococcales. The record is from RNAcentral.
GUGCUCCGGGGUCGGUGAAAUUCCGAACCGGCGGUUAUAGUCCGCGACCCGCACAAACCCGCAAGGGUUUGCGCGGUUGAGCUGGUGAAAUUCCAGCACCGACAGUCAAAGUCUGGAUGGGAGAAG